CGGCACGUAACGCGUAGGUAAUCUACCCUUGUAUCUGGGAUAACAUUGCGAAAGCGGUGCUAAUACCGGAUAGUCUUUUUAUAACGCGAGUUAUUUAGAGUAAAGGUAGCCUCUCCUUGGAAGCUACCGUAUAGGGAUGAGCCUGCGUACCAUUAGCUAGUAGGUAGGGUAAUGGCCUACCUAGGCGACGAUGGUUAGCGGGUCUGAGAGGAUGAUCCGCCACACUGGAACUGGAACACGGACCAGACUCCUACGGGAGGCAGCAGUGAGGAAUAUUGCGCAAUGGGGGCAACCCUGACGCAGCGACGCCGCGUGGGUGAUGAAGGUUUUCGGAUCGUAAAGCCCUGUCAAGUGGAAAGAAAUGUUAUGUGGUUAACAGCCAUGUAAUUUGACGGUACCACUAAAGGAAGCACCGGCUAACUCCGUGCCAGCAGCCGCGGUAAUACGGAGGGUGCGAGCGUUGUUCGGAAUUACUGGGCGUAAAGGGCGCGUAGGCGGCCUGAUAAGUCAGAUGUGAAAUCCCACGGCUCAACCGUGGAAGUGCAUCUGAAACUGUCUGGCUUGAGUAUGGAAGGGGAAAGUGGAAUUCCCGGUGUAGAGGUGAAAUUCGUAGAUAUCGGGAGGAACACCUGUGGCGAAGGCGACUUUCUGGACCAAUACUGACGCUGAGGCGCGAAAGCGUGGGUAGCAAACAGGAUUAGAUACCCUGGUAGUCCACGCUGUAAACGAUGAUACUAGAGGUAGGGGGUGUUGAUCCCUUCUGUCUCGCAGCUAACGCAUUAAGUUAUCCGCCUGGGGAGUACGGCCGCAAGGCUAAAACUCAAGGAAUUGACGGGGCUCGCACAGCGGUGGAGUAUGUGGUUUAAUUCG
This 870-nucleotide ribosomal RNA is filed under the name uncultured bacterium. Its description in RNAcentral is "bacterial SSU rRNA". It matches the Rfam family "Bacterial small subunit ribosomal RNA", at positions 100 to 953 of the family's 1533-position model. The record is from RNAcentral.